RNAcentral lists this ribosomal RNA (450 nucleotides) under uncultured bacterium. RNAcentral describes it as "partial 16S ribosomal RNA". It matches the Rfam family "Bacterial small subunit ribosomal RNA", at positions 354 to 796 of the family's 1533-position model. The record is from RNAcentral.
GUGGGGAAUUUUGGACAAUGGGCGCAAGCCUGAUCCAGCAAUGCCGCGUGCAGGAAGAAGGCCUUCGGGUUGUAAACUGCUUUUGUACGGAACGAAACGGUCCGGGUUAAUACCCUGGGCUAAUGACGGUACCGUAAGAAUAAGCACCGGCUAACUACGUGCCAGCAGCCGCGGUAAUACGUAGGGUGCAAGCGUUAAUCGGAAUUACUGGGCGUAAAGCGUGCGCAGGCGGUUUUGUAAGACAGGCGUGAAAUCCCCGGGCUCAAACUGGGAAUUGCGCUUGUGACUGCAAGGCUGGAGUGCGGCAGAGGGGGAUGGAAUUCCGCGUGUAGCAGUGAAAUGCGUAGAUAUGCGGAGGAACACCGAUGGCGAAGGCAAUCCCCUGGGCCUGCACUGACGCUCAUGCACGAAAGCGUGGGGAGCAAACAGGAUUAGAUACCCCAGUAGUCC